UGUUGGUUAAUCUCGUAGAUAUCCAAGGUUGCUUUUAGGUUACCAUUAACAAAUGUGCAUAGAACUUCUAUAACUUAGCGAGAUUACAGAAACGUUUCACUUGGAGAAGCCAUGGCAGGUAUUCGAUGCAUCUCGAGUACUAUGGUCCAAGCAGAAACCCACAAGGCAUGGACUCAGAGGGUUGAGUUAACUCCAUGGGAUCUUAACCUUUUUGCAGUGGGCCCUGUCCAGAAGGGACUUCUUUUUCCCAGGCCAAAACCUUCCCCAGAGAAGGAAAUUGAAAACACCUUGAUACAACACUUAAAAGCUUCUCUUGCCCACACUCUAGACUAUUUUCCACCCCUGGCAGGUCGCCUAGCUACCAAUGAACAUGACGAUGACACCAUUUCCUUUUGUAUUGAUUGUAAUAAUGCUGGAGCCUUGUUUAUCCAUGCUGAAGCCGAUGGAGUAACGAUUUCUGACAUUGUUAAACCUGUUUAUGUUCCUUCAAUUGUUCAUUCCUUUUUCCCACUUAAUGGGGUUAAGAACUAUGAGGGCUUUUCUAACCCAUUACUUGGAGUGCAGGUGACAGAGCUUAUGGAUGGUGUUUUUGUUGGUUGUACCAUCAAUCAUUCUGUGGUCGAUGGUUCAUCGUUUUGGCAUUUCUUUAAUUCAUGGUCAGAAAUUUCAAGAGGUUCGAUUCACUUAUCUAAACUCCCUGUUUUUCAACGUUCGUUUCUUCACAGUAUCAAUUAUCCUAUUCGGAUCCCUCGAUCUUAUGCUGAGCAAUUCCAUGAAGAGUUUAUUCUACCUCCUAAUUUGAAAGAAAGGGUUUUCCAUUUCACAAAGCAAAGCAUUGCAAAACUCAAAGAAAGAGCCAACGCUGAAGUUGGGACAAACAGCAUCUCCUCUCUUCAAGCACUCUUAUCUCAUAUUUGGCGAUCUGUUAUCCGCAACAAAAAUUUAGACCCCAAUGAAGAGAUGAUUUUCUACAUGCUAAUUGGUGCCAGGGCAAGAUUGCGCGACCUGCCUAAACAGUAUUUCGGAAAUGCAGUGAAGAGUGAAAGUGUGAAAAUGAAAGCAAAGGAGCUGCAAGAAAAAGGAGUAGGUGAUAUCGCGUGGCAAAUGAACAGGAUGAUCGCUACACAAACUGAAGAAGAGUUCAAAAAGGUCCUGGAGUCAUGGAUAGCAAGCCCUAAGGUCAUAAAAAUGGCCAUGAUGAGUAGCAACGUUCUAAUCGCAAGUAGUUCUCCUCGGUUCAACAUGUAUGGUAAUGAUUUUGGAUGGGGUAAGCCAAUUGCAGCAAGAAGCGGGCCCGCAAAUAAGUUUGAUGGGAAGCUUACGUUGUUCCCUGGAGCAGAAGAAGGAAGUAUUGAUAUUGAAGCAUGCAUUUUGUCUGAGACCUUGCAUGUCAUGGCAAAUGAUCAAGAAUUCAUGGAUACUGUUACCAUUGAAUUAAUUGGUUGAAAGUAGAAGAGGACUGUCGGAGAACUAUUCAACUUAACCGCAAUUCUGUCAAGGUGAUCGAGAUUUUUGUUGAUAGCUCAUGUUUUUUAAUUUUGAAUGUCCAUGUUUGUAAUAGUCAUGAAUUUUGUAAGCCCUUUUUGGUGAGGAAAUGUGGUUAGCGGAUUUGCGGUAGAGUGGGAGAAAGGGAGAGCCUUUGGUGUUUUGUGUGGCUCAAUUUGUUCGAAGUGUUGAGUUUUCUGAUACCAUCAACUAAGGUUGAAAUUUUUAAUUUUUUAUUUAGAGAUUGUUUGUGGAAUGUAUGGUAAAAAUUAAUAUAAAUAAAUAAUGAGUGUUUGUGCAUAAAGAUGAAUAGAAAAUAAUUUAAUCCAAUAUUUCAUUCAUAAUUAUUUUUUUAACGCUCCCCUGCCUGCCUUCAACGAGGAUCAACAGCAAUUUCUUUUAUCUCUCUCUUCCUCCAUACAUACGUUGGGUAUGCAUGCAUUUGUGUAUUUGAAGCAUCUAUCAAUAUAUAUUAAAUCAUUUUGAUCUUAUUGCAAAGUUAGCUCUUUCUUUCCAUUGUAUAUUUAAUAUUCUGUUUAUUUGCAUUUUAAACGUUCUACUAGAAGUGCUUAUUCUUUGAGUAUUCAUGAUAUAUAAUUGCAUUCAGCUCAGAGUCUUUAUUCAUGAUGAGAUUUUGUUGUGAAUUCAAUAUCUUAUAUUUUAUAAAAUUUAAAUUUAUUAUAAAUUAGCAUUGACAACAACAUGUUAUGUCUGAACAAUAGACUCAUAUUAUAUCUCAUAAUCUCUAAAAUUAUCUGUAUUUUUUUUUCAUCAGUUUUUCU
RNA transcript from Theobroma umbraticum, 2267 nucleotides. It is a transcript of the gene named putative acetyltransferase At3g50280, with no coding region annotated. The record is from RefSeq and is a predicted model, not a curated record. NCBI's taxonomy places the organism in Eukaryota, Viridiplantae, Streptophyta, Magnoliopsida, Malvales, Malvaceae.